Molecule: ribosomal RNA, 1326 nt
Filed under: Dothiorella ulmi
Lineage: Eukaryota; Fungi; Ascomycota; Dothideomycetes; Botryosphaeriales; Botryosphaeriaceae
Description: eukaryotic LSU rRNA
Rfam family: Eukaryotic large subunit ribosomal RNA
Source: RNAcentral
ACAGGGAUUGCCCUAGUAACGGCGAGUGAAGCGGCAACAGCUCAAAUUUGAAAUCUGGCGUCUUUGGCGUCCGAGUUGUAAUUUGCAGAGGGCGCUUUGGCAUUGGCAGCGGUCCAAGUUCCUUGGAACAGGACGUCACAGAGGGUGAGAAUCCCGUACGUGGUCGCUAGCCUUUACCGUGUAAAGCCCCUUCGACGAGUCGAGUUGUUUGGGAAUGCAGCUCUAAAUGGGAGGUAAAUUUCUUCUAAAGCUAAAUACUGGCCAGAGACCGAUAGCGCACAAGUAGAGUGAUCGAAAGAUGAAAAGCACUUUGGAAAGAGAGUUAAAAAGCACGUGAAAUUGUUGAAAGGGAAGCGCUUGCAGCCAGACUUGCCUGUAGUUGCUCAUCCGGGUUUUUACCCGGUGCACUCUUCUAUAGGCAGGCCAGCAUCAGUUUGGGCGGUUGGAUAAAGGUCUCUGUCACGUACCUCCUCUCGGGGAGAACUUAUAGGGGAGACGUAAUGCAACCAGCCUGGACUGAGGUCCGCGCAUCUGCUAGGAUGCUGGCGUAAUGGCUGUAAGCGGCCCGUCUUGAAACACGGACCAAGGAGUCUAACAUCUAUGCGAGUGUUUGGGUGUCAAGCCCGAGCGCGUAAUGAAAGUGAACGGAGGUGGGAACCUUUCGGGGUGCACCAUCGACCGAUCCUGAUGUCUUCGGAUGGAUUUGAGUAAGAGCAUAGCUGUUGGGACCCGAAAGAUGGUGAACUAUGCUUGAAUAGGGUGAAGCCAGAGGAAACUCUGGUGGAGGCUCGCAGCGGUUCUGACGUGCAAAUCGAUCGUCAAAUUUGGGCAUAGGGGCGAAAGACUAAUCGAACUAUCUAGUAGCUGGUUCCUGCCGAAGUUUCCCUCAGGAUAGCAGUAACGUUUUCAGUUUUAUGAGGUAAAGCGAAUGAUUAGAGGCCUGGGGGUUGAAACAACCUUCACCUAUUCUCAAACUUUAAAUAUGUAAGAAGUCCUUGUUACUUAAUUGAACGUGGACAGUUGAAUGUAUCGUUACUAGUGGGCCAUUUUUGGUAAGCAGAACUGGCGAUGCGGGAUGAACCGAACGCGGGGUUAAGGUGCCAGAAUAUACGCUCAUCAGACACCACAAAAGGUGUUAGUUCAUCUAGACAGCAGGACGGUGGCCAUGGAAGUCGGAAUCCGCUAAGGAGUGUGUAACAACUCACCUGCCGAAUGAACUAGCCCUGAAAAUGGAUGGCGCUCAAGCGUAUUACCCAUACCCCGCCGCUGGGGCAAGAUUUAAGCCCCAGCGAGUAGGCAGGCGUGGAGGUCCGUGACGAAGCCUGG